AGUGCAUGAUGAGGGCACUUUCAUAGCAAGUCAUUCAAACACUCCCAAGCUUCAUGUAAUGGCUCUCCAUCACCUUGAGAAAAUUCCUGAAUCGAAGUUCUUAUGGCAUU
Cornus florida is the source of this 110-nucleotide small nucleolar RNA. The record is from RefSeq and is a predicted model, not a curated record. Lineage: Eukaryota; Viridiplantae; Streptophyta; Magnoliopsida; Cornales; Cornaceae.